GAUCUGAGCACGACGGGAAGUUGAAUGUUCAUAGAAACAAAAGGGGAUAACCCUGUAAUCCUUUACAGUGGAUUUACUCCAGAGGCUACCUUAAAUUAUCCUUGGGUGAUGGUGGACAAUACAUUUUGGACAAAUUGAAGACCACAAACACACCAUUAUGUCCUACAAAUUGUUGGUGCCUUUGGAAUUGGACGUACUUGUCAGUCGCCAUGACGUAUUGCAGACUUCAAAGGAGACAACCUUGAAAAUGGGACUAGGUUACGGAGCAGCUCCACAAUCUGCACACACUCGCAGCUUCUCGAUAUUAGUCCACAAUAUCCAGCAUCAUCCCACACAGGCUGAAACCGCCUCACCUCGGGCAUCCCACACACUCCGCUCUCUCUGCAGCACAGGCCUCAGAGUGAGGCUGCUUGCUUGUCUCGGAGUGCUGUUGCUGCUGCUUUCUGCUCUUCAACCAGCAAUCCUGUUAAUGACCAGUGCUGUACUCAUGUUUUAAUUCAUUGGGAUUAAUUAAUCGUGCAAUUACUGAAUGACACAUCGAAUUUCUAUUGAUUUCUGGUGAGCUACAGUGGUUUAAUGCAGUGUUUAUUUGUGGUACACUAAAGCACAGAACAGUAGUACAAGUCGACAAGAGUCAUAAAGCCCACAAACUGACACAGCAAUAUCUGGGUACAGUCUGCUAACAUUAGCUGCUAGUUAGACCAAGUAAGACUGCAGCAGCAAGUGUAAUGAGUGUAUUGAAUCGUAAUAAUAGAAAUGAAUAGUAAUGUGUUUUAUUGCUUAUGAAUUCAACUUUUAAUUUCCAAGAGUAGAACUGUGUUGCUUGUUUCGAAUGUCACAGUCUCGCUUUAAAGAUGAUUGCUAGUGUGCCUUUGAGUACAGGCUUUUGAUGUUCAAUGCCCCAGAUAGUUACAUUUUCUUGUUAAAGCAUAUCGUAGCUAAGACACUCAUUUCAUUGUUUGAAAAAAAAAAAAAAAAAAAAAAAAGAGGGCAGCUUUAUUCAGUGUUUUCAAGUAUGAAAUGAUUCUGAGUUUAAGGUGUAUUACUAUUUGAGAAACAGCUAACAGCCAAAAAAGAAAAUUUGGCCAGCAGAUCCACAGUCACACUGUAAAGCAGCAGUUGUAAAAGAAGCCUGUUGGUGUGGCACUCUGGUAUUUAAAUCUUACAGACCCGUCCACUCAAAAAUAUGUGUUCCUUCUGGUUCCUACAGUGUGAUCUUCACUGUGCAGAAUGAUGUAUGUGCAGAGUGUGACACUAGAAGGUUGUUUUUACAUGCAUCUGCUGAAAGGGGAACAUUUCUCUGAGCUCAUCUGUGUGCAAUUUAAGUGUGGUGAUGAUAUAGAAACUUUAAGCCACCAGUGCUCAUACACUGAGAAUGGACUUCACACGGAAGUAGGAGACAUCUUGUGUCCAGCAGGAGUAGAGGCACUCCAGGAGCAGUUGGGUGCCUUGCUCAAGGGCAUAUCCCACCUUCUGGUUCCACCCCCGAUAGUGAUACUGGGGUUUGUAUGAUACUCAGUCAUGCUUGUUGGCUCUGGUUCAUGAUCAGAUGAAGCUCUGUGCAAACUCCUCAUCCAAUCAAAAGGGGCUGCUGUGGGAUUUUAUUGUUGUAAUGAUCUGUAGCUCUGCAGUACAAAGAUUUAAAACCCACAACAACAUGCAUCACUGGUAAACAAUUAUCUACAUUAAUUGCUACACCUGUCCAUCAGAACCCAUCAUCACCAAGUACGUUGCUGUGAACUCAGCUGUGAACAUCAGGAAUGAAGAUGUGGGAUUUGAGGGUGCAGCUUGAAUAACAGCAGCUGUCUGAGUGAACCUCCACAUUUCAAGAGUGGCUGGUUCACAUUUCUAACCCAAAUCUCCAGUUUAUGCAACUCCUCCCAUUAUGUACACCUGCUGUGGGCCUCCAAAAGUAAAUACAUUCUCAUACUCCAGCAUGUAACAUGACUCAUAUUUGGGUUGAUGAAAUGUUAAAACAUUUUUUUAUUUGACGAGUAAUAGCUACAGUUUCACAAUUGAGAACCACUUUAGACCUACAACAAGGACACAUUUUAAGAGUCAACUAGCUGCAAUUUGUUUUUCUCACCAGCUUUUCUUAAUGGUACACAUGAUUUGGGAGGGUAUAUUGAAAUCUAACCAUUCCAUUUGUCUCUUAAAUUUAGCUUUCCUUCCUCUCAACUGUUUUCUAAAAUCACUUGUCAGUUGAUGCUACUCAUGUAUCAGGUUCAGCCAAAUAAAUGUUCAUUAAAAACUGAUAACAGCACUCCAUUUAUACUUCAUGUGUAUUGAUUGAACUUAAGAGCUCUUCCCCGUCACCCCCCUGAGACCACAAUGAAUAGGAGCUGUGUGUUAUAGAAAGUAAUUUAUUACACAAACCAAAGCUAGUUUACAAAUACAGUUUCCAGUCCUGUGCGUGUGUAUAGUCUAGUAUGAACAAACCCACAUUUCAUAUUUACAGACUUUGCAUACAGCUUGGUUUUCCUGUUCCUUUGUUUACAUCAGUUUCAGCAUUCAAAAUUAGGAUUUAAAAAUACAAUAAAAAGUAGAAAUAAAAAUGAUUUGUACAUAAUAAGGAGACUUACAUUGUUUUUCCUUUUGUCUUUUCAGCCAAGUUUGUGUUUUUAAACAAACAAACAGAAAAAGAGCCAGCAGAUGUGGUCCUAGCGAUGCUCUAGACAGGCAGCCGAGAGGCCAGCCUUUCUCCUGACUGCCUAACAACAGCAUUUGGCAGGGAUGAUUGACGGGUCGUUACAACCAAUUGUAAAUCAUCAGAAAAAUUCAGGUAAAGCACGUAAGAAUAAACUAAAGCAACGUCACAUAAGCAGUCCCCUAGUCUUCCACCUCCUAUUUUAAAUACUGAUAGACAACAUAUUUAUGACUUUUUUUUUUUUAAAA
Long non-coding RNA from Dicentrarchus labrax (European seabass), 2895 nucleotides. RefSeq lists it as uncharacterized. The record is from RefSeq and is a predicted model, not a curated record. NCBI's taxonomy places the organism in Eukaryota, Metazoa, Chordata, Actinopteri, Moronidae. The transcript has 2 exons.